GAUGAACGCUGGCGGCGUGCCUAAUACAUGCAAGUCGAGCGAACGGACGAGAAGCUUGCUUCUCUGAUGUUAGCGGCGGACGGGUGAGUAACACGUGGAUAACCUACCUAUAAGACUGGGAUAACUUCGGGAAACCGUAGCUAAUACCGGAUAAUAUUUUGAACCGCAUGGUUCAAAAGUGAAAGACGGUCUUGCUGUCACUUAUAGAUGGAUCCGCGCUGCAUUAGCUAGUUGGUAAGGUAACGGCUUACCAAGGCAACGAUGCAUAGCCGACCUGAGAGGGUGAUCGGCCACACUGGAACUGAGACACGGUCCAGACUCCUACGGGAGGCAGCAGUAGGGAAUCUUCCGCAAUGGGCGAAAGCCUGACGGAGCAACGCCGCGUGAGUGAUGAAGGUCUUCGGAUCGCAAAACUCUGUUAUUAGGGAAGAACAUAUGUGUAAGUAACUGUGCACAUCUUGACGGUACCUAAUCAGAAAGACACGGCUAACUACGUG
This 497-nucleotide ribosomal RNA is filed under the name uncultured bacterium. RNAcentral describes it as "partial 16S ribosomal RNA". It matches the Rfam family "Bacterial small subunit ribosomal RNA", at positions 28 to 507 of the family's 1533-position model. The record is from RNAcentral.